CAUUGCCUCAGUACGGCGAGUGAAGCGGCAAAAGCUCAAAUUUGAAAUCUAGCACUUUCAGUGUUCGAGUUGUAAUUUGAAGAAGGUAACUUUGGUUUUGGCUCUUGUCUAUGUUCCUUGGAACAGGACGUCACAGAGGGUGAGAAUCCCGUGCGAUGAGAUGCCCAAUUCCAUGUAAAGUGCUUUCGAAGAGUCGAGUUGUUUGGGAAUGCAGCUCUAAGUGGGUGGUAAAUUCCAUCUAAAGCUAAAUAUUGGCGAGAGACCGAUAGCGAACAAGUACAGUGAUGGAAAGAUGAAAAGAACUUUGAAAAGAGAGUGAAAAAGUACGUGAAAUUGUUGAAAGGGAAGGGCUUGAGAUCAGACUUGGUAUUUUGCGUUCCCUUCCUUUUUGGUUGGGUUCCUCGCAGUUUACUGGGCCAGCAUCGGUUUGGAUGGUAGGAUAAUGACAUUGGAAUGUAGCUUUACUUCGGUGAAGUGUUAUAGACUUUGUUGAUACUGCCUAUCUAGACCGAGGACUGCGUCUUUGACUAGGAUGCUGGCGUAAUGAUCUUAAGCCGCCCGUCUUGAAACACGGACAA
RNAcentral lists this ribosomal RNA (578 nucleotides) under Dujonia zeylanoides. RNAcentral describes it as "eukaryotic LSU rRNA". It matches the Rfam family "Eukaryotic large subunit ribosomal RNA", at positions 73 to 668 of the family's 3401-position model. Lineage: Eukaryota; Fungi; Ascomycota; Pichiomycetes; Serinales; Debaryomycetaceae. The record is from RNAcentral.